AACAGGAUUAGAUACCCUGGUAGUCCACGCCGUAAACGAUGUCGACUAGCCGUUGGGUCCUUCGCGGACUUUGUGGCGCAGUUAACGCGAUAAGUCGACCGCCUGGGGAGUACGGCCGCAAGGUUAAAACUCAAAUGAAUUGACGGGGGCCCGCACAAGCGGUGGAGCAUGUGGUUUAAUUCGAUGCAACGCGAAGAACCUUACCUACCCUUGACAUCCUGCGAACCCUUCGGAGACGAAGGGGUGCCUUCGGGAGCGCAGAGACAGGUGCUGCAUGGCUGUCGUCAGCUCGUGUUGUGAAAUGUUGGGUUAAGUCCCGUAACGAGCGCAACCCUUGUCCCUAUUUGCCAGCGAUUCGGUCGGGAACUCUAGGGAGACUGCCGGUGACAAACCGGAGGAAGGUGGGGACGACGUCAAGUCAUCAUGGCCCUUACGGGUAGGGCUACACACGUGCUACAAUGGUCGGUACAAAGGGUUGCGAGCUCGCGAGAGCAAGCCAAUCCCAGAAAGCCGAUCUCAGUCCGGAUCGGAGUCUGCAACUCGACUCCGUGAAGUCGGAAUCGCUAGUAAUCGUGAAUCAGAAUGUCACGGUGAAUACGUUCCCGGGCCUUGUACACACCGCCCGUCACACCAUGGGAGUGGACUGCACCAGAAGUGGUUAGCCUAACCUUCGGGAGGGCGAUCACCACGGUGUGGUUCAUGACUGGGGUGAAGUCGUAACAAGGUAACC
This 730-nucleotide ribosomal RNA is filed under the name uncultured bacterium. RNAcentral's name for it is "bacterial SSU rRNA". It matches the Rfam family "Bacterial small subunit ribosomal RNA", at positions 771 to 1501 of the family's 1533-position model. The record is from RNAcentral.